GGGGCUAUAGCUCAGCUGGUAGAGCGCUUGCAUGGCAUGCAAGAGGUCAGGGGUUCGAAUCCCCUUAGCUCCA
RNAcentral lists this transfer RNA (73 nucleotides) under Nocardiopsaceae bacterium. RNAcentral describes it as "tRNA-Ala". It matches the Rfam family "tRNA". From Rfam's summary of the family: Transfer RNA (tRNA) molecules are approximately 80 nucleotides in length. Their secondary structure includes four short double-helical elements and three loops (D, anti-codon, and T loops). Lineage: Bacteria; Bacillati; Actinomycetota; Actinomycetes; Streptosporangiales; Nocardiopsidaceae. RNAcentral also lists the same sequence under 1 other name. The record is from RNAcentral.